RNAcentral lists this ribosomal RNA (324 nucleotides) under Enterococcus faecium. Its description in RNAcentral is "bacterial SSU rRNA". It matches the Rfam family "Bacterial small subunit ribosomal RNA", at positions 1 to 303 of the family's 1533-position model. RNAcentral also lists the same sequence under 1 other name. The record is from RNAcentral. Lineage: Bacteria; Bacillati; Bacillota; Bacilli; Lactobacillales; Enterococcaceae.
UUUUAUGAGAGUUUGAUCCUGGCUCAGGACGAACGCUGGCGGCGUGCCUAAUACAUGCAAGUCGAACGCUUCUUUUUCCACCGGAGCUUGCUCCACCGGAAAAAGAAGAGUGGCGAACGGGUGAGUAACACGUGGGUAACCUGCCCAUCAGAAGGGGAUAACACUUGGAAACAGGUGCUAAUACCGUAUAACAAUCAAAACCGCAUGGUUUUGAUUUGAAAGGCGCUUUCGGGUGUCGCUGAUGGAUGGACCCGCGGUGCAUUAGCUAGUUGGUGAGGUAACGGCUCACCAAGGCCACGAUGCAUAGCCGACCUGAGAGGGUGA